Molecule: ribosomal RNA, 433 nt
Filed under: uncultured bacterium
Lineage: Bacteria
Description: partial 16S ribosomal RNA
Rfam family: Bacterial small subunit ribosomal RNA
Source: RNAcentral
AACGAACGCUGGCGGCAUGCCUAACACAUGCAAGUCGAACGAGACCUUCGGGUCUAGUGGCGCACGGGUGCGUAACGCGUGGGAACCUGCCCUUAGGUUCGGAAUAACUCCCCGAAAGGGGUGCUAAUACCGGAUAAUGUCUUCGGACCAAAGAUUUAUCGCCUUUGGAUGGGCCCGCGUUGGAUUAGCUAGUUGGUAGGGUAAAAGCCUACCAAGGCGACGAUCCAUAGCUGGUCUGAGAGGAUGAUCAGCCACACUGGGACUGCGACACGGCCCAGACUCGUACGGGAGGCAGGAGUGGGGAAUAUAGGAGACUGGGCGAAAGCCUGAUAAAGCAAUGCGGCGUGAGUGAGGAAGGCCUUAGGGUUGUAAAGCUCUUUUACACGGGAUGAUAAUGACAGUACCGGGAGAAUAAGCACCGGCUAACUCCGUG